Molecule: long non-coding RNA, 265 nt
Filed under: Monodelphis domestica (gray short-tailed opossum)
Lineage: Eukaryota; Metazoa; Chordata; Mammalia; Didelphimorphia; Didelphidae
Description: lncRNA (ENSMODG00000030581.2)
Source: RNAcentral
UAAAAACUCAGCCUCAGAGCAGCAUUUGCUGGACCAGUUUUCAAAACAGUGCAAUGUAAUCACUUAGACCAUUGUUUUGGACUCCUUGGCUGAAGGGAGAGCAACAAGCAACCACACCUUCAUCUGGGAAAAUAAUUCAGUGCAGGGAGAGGGGAAAUAUGACAAAGCAAGAUUUCUUAGGAAAAGCUGUGUAUCUGGAAAUUCCUUGUAUCUGGAAAAGGCUUCAUAUUGAAUAUGGUACCUGAACUGAGAGUUGAAAGGACAC